ACGGAGGGGGCAAGCGUUGUCCGGACUAACUGGGCGUAAAGGGCACGUAGGCGGCGCGCUACGUUUGGGGUGAAAUCGCUCGGCUCAACCGGGCGGGGUCUCCAAAUACGGGCGGGCUGGAGGCAUGCAGAGGGUGGUGGAAUUCCCGGUGUAGUGGUGAAAUGCGUAGAGCUCGGGAGGAACACCAGUGGGGCAGCCGGCCACCUGGGCAUGACCUGACGCUGAGGUGCGAUAGCGUGGGGAGCGAACCG
Molecule: ribosomal RNA, 251 nt
Filed under: uncultured prokaryote
Description: partial 16S rRNA
Rfam family: Bacterial small subunit ribosomal RNA
Source: RNAcentral